UAACCCAGCUCAAACCACUUCCCCCACUCGUGAUUUCAUCACAGCCAAAAGCUGUGCUUGAGCUGCUGGGCACCCUGUGGGCACCUAAAGCCUAAGGGGAAUUUUUAAGAGAGAAAGAAAUGGCUCCAGAGAGCCCCAUAACUCUAAGCAAGUUGUUCUUUAGGACAGUCAUAAUUUCAUUUCUUAUUGAUACUUCUGCAAGGAGAGCCAUUCUCCUGCUGCUGGAGGCUCUAGCUGCAGACACAGCCUUGGAAGGGAAGCUUGCUCUCAUGGCUACGGCAGAGGAAUGGGAAGCACGAGAUCUGGCAUGAAGUGCUGCUCCCAUUGAAGCCAGUGGGAUGUUUGCCAUUGGCUUCAGGGGAAGCCAAGAUUUCAGUCUGCAGCCAGAUUUGCUGGUGUGCUGUUCUAUCCUGAGAGCAGGAGCAGAGAGGGUUCUUGGUUUCCUGAUAAAGCUCUCGCUGCCUCGGCUCCUCUGCUGCCUUCUCACCUCACACUGGCCCCUCCUUGCUUUCAAAUCUCAGGCCUCUUUCAAAUCCUUGAUGAAGAGACUGGUGCAUGGUUUGUGCCUGUGGUAUUGUCCCAUGAUUGCAGCUCUUGGACUGGGGGUUGUGGACAGUGCUAGAGAGGGGCAUGAGGCAAUUAAAGCAACAGGACAGGCUGGGGGAAGAGGCUUAGAUGAAGUAACAUAUGGGAUUUGCUGCAGGUCAGUAACUGUGCCUUCUUCUCCAGGCAGCAACUUGGAUCAGCUCUAAGAAUUAACUCUAAGUGGUUCAGGAGAGCCUGGAGAGAUUGUAAAGGUGGUCCAAGGACGGCUCUCUCUGUUCAUCGUGUGGGAUUGGUCUCUGCUGCCCCUUUCAGGGAACAUCUGUAAGCACAUCACAUCUGUAAAAAAAAGGCAGGAAGGUUUAUCUGCUGGACAAAGAAGUUGUCCUGAAUUUGCUCACCUCUCCAGAUGCCUCAUGUUUGACAGCUUCUGCUCCUGGCCAGCCACAGCUUGUGUUCUCUGGCCACCUGGGACCUGAUCUCCUUCCUCUGACACUUCCACAGAGAGCAGCUGCUGGGAGAGACUUUCUGGCUCUGAUUCUAGCACUCCAAGCACAGCAUCCUGGGAUGGCUUUCCCAGGGUUCUGGCAGAUUUGAAGGCCAGGCAUCAUGGCCAAUAUUGCUCCCAUACACCCACAUCCCACAUUUAGGGUGUCCUUGUGGGUGUGACCCUGGAACCAGCUUCUCAUGGAGGACACCACAGUGAAACUCCCUUCUGGCACCCAGGCCUUGGACCUGCAAAGUCUUCCCUGUGUGGUUGGUGUCUUUGACCAUUCCCUGGGACUGUUUCCUGAAGAGAAAGAGCAGCAUUUGGCCCUUGGCUUUUAGGAGAGUUUCCUAACACAAACCUCAAAACAAAUGGAAACGCUUUCCUCCCCUUUCAGACCAAGACAAAGACUGAGGGUGAGGUUUUAAGGCUAAUUAAGUUUUUGGUGUCUUUUUUUUUUUUAAUUUCUCUCAGCUGAGGACAUCCCUGGCACUAUGAUAAAAGCCCCCACUGCCCACUGGGGCUCCUUGUGGUGAAUGUGCUCCUGAGAGACACAAAGGUUUCCCCAGAAGCACAUUCCCAUUCCAUGGCUCUAAUUAGAGAAGAUUUUCUGUGAUUGUUGCUAACAAUGUUCUUCCUUGCCCUUGGCUCAGCAGGAACCCGAUUAGUGACUUCCCAGGGUCCUUGAAACCCAAGGGAAUUAAUUUGCCUUUAAUUUUGUCCAAGCUGAUACUUAGGGGAACAGCUGGGAAUAUUGUAAAGCAGCUUCUGGCAGUGAAGAAUCCCAGCAAAGCAUUUCCCAGAGCCCUGGUAGUGAUGCUCAGUCUGCCCACCUGAAGCCAGCCCAUGCAGGGAGCUGCAGCAUUAACCAAUGAAAGACACAGCCCUGCUCCUCUUCCUUUUCCUUACAACAGCUGGAUUUGCCCAGAUGUGCUUUGGUGGUACCUGGUGACCACACCGUAUUUGUGUCACUUUGCUGCUGUUCACAGCUUUUUUCAGUGUUUAUUGACAGCCAGACUCAUCCUUCAUUUCUUGAUGGAUGCUCAUUCCAGCUUCCCAGGAUCUGGGCUGUCCUGACAUGCCAACAUGUGCAGCCUUGGAUGGAGCAGUUCAUUGCUGUGUAACUGAGGGAACCACUGUGCAAUAGGAACCACAAUGACACUGCCUGGCUGGGGAUUUUUAAAGCACUUUGAGCUCCUUGGAAGGACCAGGGUAGGUGCACACCUCUUCUGUUACUCUGUGGUUAAAGGCUGGCUGAGAUGAUGGUUUGGAUAGAAAACAGCAGCCAACAGAGUAGCUCACACAUCCCUAGAGGUGAUCACUUCAUGGUCUGGGGCAUUUUCAGGGGCUACUUCACUUCCCAGGUAUAGGAAAGGCUGAGCCAGUCUGGGGCUGGGACACCUCUGCAGGGCUGUGUUCAGGACACAGGAAUUCCAUCAGAGCCAUGCUUAGCCUUAGCUUUUGCUGUAACAAUUACAAGUGAUAAAAUACCAGUUUUCUCAAUUUGCCUUCCCACAAGUUGGUUUAAAGGUAAUGAAGGCAGAUCCUGCUAUAGCUUAGUGCAUUACAAGCCAACUCAAAUGACUCCCCACUGUCUUUUCAUCUCCAUGAGACUUUUAAUGCCCUAAGUCUUUGCAUGUCCUGGCACACAGCCCAAUUGAAGCAUGAGCUCCAACAGAAGUUUUACAUUUAAAGCUGUUCUUUUGGCUUCAUAAAUUUGCAGAUUGAGGGUGAGAGAAGCAAUUCAGCUGUUUACUUGCAGAUCUCCACCAGCCCUGCUGUGCUCUUGCCCUCGCCUCGGUCAGAGUUGUGUUAACAGCAUUUUCCAAUUAAAGUAGCAGCCUCAGUUACAGAAAAUGCUUUUCCUAUCUGGGAAUGUAUCUGAUUUUACUCUUUUUAAAUUACUUAUGGAGCACAGGGGUGUUUUGUUUCCCACCCCUUAUUAUAAUUAAUCCAUCAUCAUUUCUGGUGACAAGGUUGGCUUUUGUUGAAUUUUUUAUUUCUUGCCAUUUCCAUCAGCUUGUUCCAAUACCACUCAGACUCCACAUUACUGAUGAUGGGGAGAGUGAUGUGAGCAAUCAGGCAAAUAUCAAGUGGACGAGCAAUUCCUGAAUUUCUGCUCACUUAGAGCAGGAAAAAUGACACCUAUUCUGGAGAUAACCCAGCCAGAAAAUCUUAGAGCCAUACUGUGUAAAUUGUAGCCACUUCCCUGUCUGAAAUAGUUCUGCUCUGAAAACUUGGCUUUCAAGACCUCCACAGCCAAGACAAAAGCUUCUUCCUGUUACCUGAAAAUUCCAAGUCUCCAAGAGAAUCAAUGGUAGCAGUUGAAACCUCCAUCUUUCUUCCCAGUGAUGAGGUAAGAGCUUCUUUUUUGCCCUUCACCUCACUGAAAGGGACGUGCAACAAGCCUUGGUGCAACAAGCUCAGCAAAGCUUUGUGGGAUGCAGUGAGAUCUGACUCUGGGAUUUUCACUCCUGCCAGUUUUCCAUAGUGGACCCCAUUGUGACUGUCUUCUGGCUGAACAUGCUUUGAACAUGAGCAUGGCAGUGCUUGGGCUGGGCCUGCAGGGCCUGGGGCAGGACCAGGUGCAGUGACAAAAUCCAAAAUCCCAGUGCUGAUAUCCUGUCCCAGGAGGCCACAAAGCCCCUCUGUCCAACAGCAUCCUCCUCCCAGAGUCUGGGCAGCUGCAGCUGGGCCCACUGCAGUGUCAGGACCCUUGCAAGGAUGCUCCAGCCACACACUCCCAGACAAGGAAGCAAAGCCUUCUGCUGCCCCCACGUGUUGCUUGUUCAUUAUUGUUGCCACACACCAGUUAAGACCUGGGAACACUAUUGGGAAGUGUGAGAGAGGAGCUAGCACAGCUAUGCAGCUCUAGAGGUCAAGGAUCUUGCUUUGGAAGGCUCUUCUGUUCCUUCUGUUCCUCCCUCAAGCUCAGGGUGUUCCUUGUACUCAAAAAACUGCAAAAUCAGAUUGGGCCUGUUUGGAAAUGAGAUGAUCUGGAGGCAGCAAAGCACAGAGGUGUCCUGGUCCCACCCAGGACGUGUGUGAGCCCUGGGAGCUGGCCAGUGAUGCCGAGCGAUAUCGGAUACGGCACAGAGCAUCCAGGAGCCUUGGCUCAGGCCACGAGGAGCACAGAGCAAGAGACAGCUCUUGGCAGGCUCAGCUCACAUGAUAAGGUCAUUGGAAAGACAAGUGAUGCUUUCAUCAACCUGCCUCUCCCCAGAAUCAGCACCAGCUCAAGCAAGGGCUCACUCUGGGCUCCUGUAAUACUCCGUGUAGUGCCAAGGACAAAAGCUUACUCCCAAAUAGGUUGAAGCUGCUUUUCCCAACCAGUGUCCCAGCCCCCAGCUCUCAUCCUUCCUGGCCCUGACAGGUUCCAGUUUUGAACCACUGAACAGACCCUCUUGGAAAGGUAAUUUUCUCUCGGGAUCAGUGGCACCUCUCAAGCUGCAGGGAGAGCAGGCUGUAGUUGCUGGCUCUCUGCUGCUUCCCAGCAGUUACAAUUAAGGAUCUUGUGGUUUUGUCCUUUGUUGGGGUAGCACAUGCUAACUAUUCUGGAGAGCAUCAAUCCCAAAAGCUGCCUGAAGCCUGGGCUGACAGGUUGGUAGUAGCAGCCAAGCUCUCUCAUGGAACCAGUCUGUGCCUGGGGAGGUCCCAGAGCAGUGUUUCUGACCAUCCCUAGCACAGCUCCUUGCAAUGGUAGGGCUGGCUCUUUGCCAUCCUUUCACCGAGAGCCGUUUUGGAAUGGCACCAUGAAGAGAUGGGCCAUGGAGCAAUUCCUCAGCUCAGAUUGUCCACAGACUGCCCUGGACACUGCCUGGAGCUCUCAGAACAUUUGAAGGGAGCAGCACUCGCUGGCAGGGCUUACGUGCUCCUACAAUUGGGGAUUGCAAACACAUGCUUCAGCUAUGCAAGAAAUCCUUGACUUGUUCUGAAUGCAAUUCUGCCUGGGUUUCUUCCCAGGAACAUUCCUGUUCUUCACAAUUUACCAGUUGCAGGAAGGGAGAAGGGGGAGGAGGAGUUUUAGGAGUAAGGGAGAGGAAAGGGAACAAAUCUCACGGUGCUUUCCCUCGCCAAAUUUCUCCAGAAGGACAGGGUGUGGAGCAUGGACUCCAGAGUCUGGGACAAUCCCAAGAAAAUAUGAAUUACAAAAUUAAAA
Molecule: non-coding RNA, 5189 nt
Organism: Taeniopygia guttata (zebra finch)
Lineage: Eukaryota; Metazoa; Chordata; Aves; Passeriformes; Estrildidae
Source: RefSeq, a predicted model, not a curated record